UACGGGGGGUGCAAGCGUUACUCGGAAUCACUGGGCGUAAAGGGAGCGUAGGCGUUCUAUUAAGUCUUGAGUGAAAGCCCGCAGCCUAACUGCGGAACUGCUCAGGAAACUGAUAGAAUUGAGUAUGGAAGAGGUAGGUGGAAUUUCCAGUGUAGGGGUAAAAUCCGUAGAUAUUGGAAGGAAUACCAGAAGCGAAGGCGACCUACUGGGACAUUACUGACGCUGAGGCUCGAAAGCGUGGGGAGCAAACGGG
Molecule: ribosomal RNA, 253 nt
Filed under: uncultured bacterium
Lineage: Bacteria
Description: partial 16S ribosomal RNA
Rfam family: Bacterial small subunit ribosomal RNA
Source: RNAcentral